GACGAACGCUGGCGGCGUGCUCAACACAUGCAAGUCGAGCGAUGAAGCUCCUUCGGGAGUGGAUUAGCGGCGGACGGGUGAGUAACACGUGGGUAACCUGCCUCAUAGAGGGGAAUAGCCUUUCGAAAGGAAGAUUAAUACCGCAUAAGAUUGUAGUACCGCAUGGUACAGCAAUUAAAGGAGUAAUCCGCUAUGAGAUGGACCCGCGUCGCAUUAGCUAGUUGGUGAGGUAACGGCUCACCAAGGCGACGAUGCGUAGCCGACCUGAGAGGGUGAUCGGCCACAUUGGGACUGAGACACGGCCCAGACUCCUACGGGAGGCAGCAGUGGGGAAUAUUGCACAAUGGGGGAAACCCUGAUGCAGCAACGCCGCGUGAGUGAUGACGGUCUUCGGAUUGUAAAGCUCUGUCUUUAGGGACGAUAAUGACGGUACCUAAGGAGGAAGCCACGGCUAACUACGUGCCAGCCGCCGCGGUAA
Molecule: ribosomal RNA, 478 nt
Filed under: uncultured bacterium
Lineage: Bacteria
Description: partial 16S ribosomal RNA
Rfam family: Bacterial small subunit ribosomal RNA
Source: RNAcentral